Molecule: non-coding RNA, 295 nt
Organism: Cricetulus griseus (Chinese hamster)
Lineage: Eukaryota; Metazoa; Chordata; Mammalia; Rodentia; Cricetidae
Source: RefSeq, a predicted model, not a curated record
AUGUUGUUUCCCCAGGAGUUCAGCUCAGUGCUUAGCUGUGGGUGUCUGCUUCUGCUUCCAUCAGCUACUGGAUGAAAGCUCUAGGAUGGCAUUUAAGGAAGUCAUCAAUCUCAUUACAGGGGAAGGGCAUUGAAGGUCGCCCUCAUAUAGUGAACUUGCAUAGAAGACCCUGCUGCUGAAGACACCACACCCUUCAGAUACAGUACUUGAAGGAAUCCAGCUGAAACCUGGAGUGCAUGUUUAUUUAUGAUUUUCUUCAACAAAUAGUAUUAAAUAAAAAGCAAGUUUGCAAACA